UUCUCCAAACUGUAGUUGAGCUAGGUAUACCUGUAGUUGAGCUAGGUAUACCUAGCUCAACUACAGUUUGGAGAA
Non-coding RNA from Podarcis lilfordi (Lilford's wall lizard), 75 nucleotides. The record is from the annotation of a GenBank genome assembly. Lineage: Eukaryota; Metazoa; Chordata; Lepidosauria; Squamata; Lacertidae.